RNAcentral lists this long non-coding RNA (315 nucleotides) under Glycine max (soybean). RNAcentral describes it as "long non-coding RNA (GMAX_LNC001049)". Lineage: Eukaryota; Viridiplantae; Streptophyta; Magnoliopsida; Fabales; Fabaceae. The record is from RNAcentral.
UUUCCCUAUGGCGUAGCUAGUUCUUCUAGGAAGAUCUUGUCAUCUGGUUGAUAUUAACGGAGGACGUAGAGACUUUCUUUUCAGUCUUAGAGAAGAUUCUUGAGAAUUGUGGAUGUCCAAGUGCAUAGAGUUAAACUAAGCCUAAUGCAGUUUGAGUUAGAAAAUUAUUGAGGUAACUUUAGAUAAAUAAAUAAGCAUAUUAACUCGUACAUAUUUCAGGUAUUUAUUGACAUAAUUAGAUUUUCAAAAUUGUAAAUGUUAAUAAUUUUGGCAUUUAUUUUGACCUCCCACCCCCCUUUUCUACUAAUUUGGUCC